UCCCGGCUUUCCAUCAGCCGGGGAUUCUGAAGAGGCACACCAUCAUUGCCGGAAGUGCGGUAGGGGCCACCCUCCAAUCCAUGGCAGACAAAGCCGGAUCAAUGUUCUUGGCGGAGCGUUGAUUCACAAUUCGCGCGUCGAGCGUAUGCACGGUAU
RNAcentral lists this non-coding RNA (156 nucleotides) under Rhizobium sp. CECT 9324. RNAcentral describes it as "speF". It matches the Rfam family "speF leader". Rfam says of the family: This family is a putative regulatory RNA structure that is found upstream of the speF gene encoding ornithine decarboxylase in Agrobacterium tumefaciens and other alpha-proteobacteria. Lineage: Bacteria; Pseudomonadati; Pseudomonadota; Alphaproteobacteria; Hyphomicrobiales; Rhizobiaceae. The record is from RNAcentral.